CAUGGACAGGUGAAAAAUGAAAGGUGAGAGGUGACAGGUGAGAGAGGACAGGUAAACAGAGGACAGGUAUGAGGGGACAGGAGACAGGUAUGAGGGGACAGGUGACAGGUGAACAGGAGACAGGUAAACAGAGGACAGGUAUGAGGGGACAGGUGACAGGUGAACAGGAGACAGGUAAACAGAGGACAGGUAUGAGGGGACAGAGGACAGGUAUGAGGGGACAGGUGAGAGGUAAACAGAGGACAGGUGAACAGGUGACAG
Long non-coding RNA from Labrus mixtus (cuckoo wrasse), 261 nucleotides. RefSeq lists it as uncharacterized. The transcript has 4 exons. The record is from RefSeq and is a predicted model, not a curated record. Lineage: Eukaryota; Metazoa; Chordata; Actinopteri; Labriformes; Labridae.